This 495-nucleotide ribosomal RNA is filed under the name uncultured bacterium. Its description in RNAcentral is "partial 16S ribosomal RNA". It matches the Rfam family "Bacterial small subunit ribosomal RNA", at positions 28 to 507 of the family's 1533-position model. The record is from RNAcentral.
GACGAACGCUGGCGGCGUGCCUAAUACAUGCAAGUAGAACGCUGAAGGAGGAGCUUGCUCUUCUGGAUGAGUUGCGAACGGGUGAGUAACGCGUAGGUAACCUGCCUGGUAGCGGGGGAUAACUAUUGGAAACGAUAGCUAAUACCGCAUAACAGUAGAUGUUGCAUGACAUUUGCUUAAAAGGUGCAAUUGCACCACUACCAGAUGGACCUGCGUUGUAUUAGCUAGUUGGUGGGGUAACGGCUCUCCAAGGCGACGAUACAUAGCCGACCUGAGAGGGUGAUCGGCCACACUGGGACUGAGACACGGCCCAGACUCCUACGGGAGGCAGCAGUAGGGAAUCUUCGGCAAUGGACGGAAGUCUGACCGAGCAACGCCGCGUGAGUGAAGAAGGUUUUCGGAUCGUAAAGCUCUGUUGUAAGAGAAGAACGAGUGUGAGAGUGGAAAGUUCACACUGUGACGGUAUCUUACCAGAAAGGGACGGCUAACUACGUG